UACGUAGGGUGCGAGCGUUAAUCGGAAUUACUGGGCGUAAAGCGUGCGCAGGCGGUUGGCAAAGUCAGCUGUGAAAGCCCCGGGCUUAACCUGGGAAUGGCGGUUGAAACUAGUCGACUCGAAUCUGGCAGAGGGGGGUGGAAUUCCACGUGUAGCGGUGAAAUGCGUAGAGAUGUGGAGGAACACCAAUGGCGAAGGCAGCCUUCUGGGCCAACACUGACGCUCAUGCACGAAAGCGUGGGGAGCAAACAGG
This 253-nucleotide ribosomal RNA is filed under the name uncultured bacterium. RNAcentral describes it as "partial 16S ribosomal RNA". It matches the Rfam family "Bacterial small subunit ribosomal RNA", at positions 524 to 776 of the family's 1533-position model. The record is from RNAcentral.